Molecule: ribosomal RNA, 253 nt
Filed under: uncultured bacterium
Lineage: Bacteria
Description: partial 16S ribosomal RNA
Rfam family: Bacterial small subunit ribosomal RNA
Source: RNAcentral
UACGAAGGGGGCUAGCGUUGCUCGGAAUCACUGGGCGUAAAGCGCACGUAGGCGGAUUGCUAAGUCAGGGGUGAAAUCCUGGAGCUCAACUCCAGAACUGCCUUUGAUACUGGCGACCUUGAGUCCGGGAGAGGUGAGUGGAACUGCGAGUGUAGAGGUGAAAUUCGUAGAUAUUCGCAAGAACACCAGUGGCGAAGGCGGCUCACUGGCCCAUUUUUGACGCUGAGGCGCGAAAGCGUGGGGAGCAAACAGG